This 468-nucleotide ribosomal RNA is filed under the name uncultured bacterium. RNAcentral describes it as "partial 16S ribosomal RNA". It matches the Rfam family "Bacterial small subunit ribosomal RNA", at positions 28 to 507 of the family's 1533-position model. The record is from RNAcentral.
GACGAACGCUGGCGGCGUGCUUAACACAUGCAAGUCGAACGGAAAGGCCCUGCUUUUGUGGGGUGCUCGAGUGGCGAACGGGUGAGUAACACGUGAGUAACCUGCCCUUGACUUUGGGAUAACUUCAGGAAACUGGGGCUAAUACCGGAUAGGAGCUCCUGCUGCAUGGUGGGGGUUGGAAAGUUUCGGCGGUUGGGGAUGGACUCGCGGCUUAUCAGCUUGUUGGUGGGGUAGUGGCUUACCAAGGCUUUGACGGGUAGCCGGCCUGAGAGGGUGACCGGCCACAUUGGGACUGAGAUACGGCCCAGACUCCUACGGGAGGCAGCAGUGGGGAAUAUUGCACAAUGGGCGGAAGCCUGAUGCAGCAACGCCGCGUGCGGGAUGACGGCCUUCGGGUUGUAAACCGCUUUCGCCUGUGACGAAGCGUGAGUGAGGGUAAUGGGUAAAGAAGCACCGGCUAGCUACGUG